RNAcentral lists this small RNA (59 nucleotides) under Pectobacterium phage phiTE. Its description in RNAcentral is "pseudo-ToxI". Lineage: Duplodnaviria; Heunggongvirae; Uroviricota; Caudoviricetes. The record is from RNAcentral.
CAGGUGAUUCGCUACCUUAAGUGCGGGACGAAAAUCCAGGUGAUUCGCUACCUUUAAGU